UUGCGCGCGAGUGACAGGAAAUGUGGAUAAUCUUUCUGUAUUAAGUUUGUCUUUUUGUCGAGCUCAAUUCUUCUUUUCUGGGUUUUGCUUGGUUUCUUGUAAAUUCCUCUGCUUUGGGUUAUACGGGUGAAUUCGAUUAGUGGUGAUACCUAGUGUGAUCUUUUGGUGCAGAAAUAGUUUAAGAAAUGGCGCUAGGGUUGAUAUUGGGAAUUGGGAGGGCAUUCAGAAGGAAGCGAACGUCGUCGCUUGAUAUUCUGACGUCGAAGAGAAGUCCUCGGGGUUAUUACAAGGGCAAAAAUUGCAAGCCUACUGGUUUUCACACCCGCAAAGGUGGCUAUGUGGUGCAGCCUGAAAAGUUGCCAAAUUAUGUUGUACCGGACUUGACCGGCUUCAAGAAAAUUUUGCUAGCCGUCGUGAAUCCUGGGAACAUUGUUUGGUUCAUCAAAUCUGAAGCUGGGUCCUUUCUCCGUGGUUAAAUUCAUUAUGCUAAAACCGUAUGUGUCUCAGUGUGCACGACAGUUGGGUGAUUCAGCUAAGUAAAUGGAAUGCAACAAAGCCUCUCUGGUUGAGUCCAAAACAGAGGUGGGUGGCUUGUGGUGCCGACAUCUCUUACCAGCCCAACUGCCGUCCCUCUUCUUGGUUUGGCCUCAUCAUCAAAUGUAGUGGUCCUUUGUGCCUCUUGUUAUUUGUUUUGCCACUUAUUCUUUUGCAUGAUAUUAGUUGUUCUUGGGAAUCCUUAAUAUCUUGGAGGGCGAACCACUUCAUUAGUUGAGGGCAUUAGAAUGUUGCCUAGAUUUAACGAAUACUGAUAAUCCGUAGAAAAACACAAACAUUGUUUGGAUGAAAUUGAGGGACAAAUUUUCAUUCUUCUUUUUACUCCACUGUUGUGCAAUUACCACUCAAUU
Molecule: RNA transcript, 905 nt
Organism: Andrographis paniculata
Lineage: Eukaryota; Viridiplantae; Streptophyta; Magnoliopsida; Lamiales; Acanthaceae
Exons: 5
Source: RefSeq, a predicted model, not a curated record